CGCUGAUUGGCCUCUCCUGAGGAAAAACGCUCUUUAUAAAUCGGGUCUUCGAGCUGCCUGACAUCGAGAUCCUUCCUACUUUUCGAACUGCCUUGAAAGCUGUCGAAGAUCGCAGAGGAACCAUGAAGGUCGUGUUUAUCGCCGUGUGUCUGAUCGGACUCGUCUGUGCCGUCCCUAUAGAUGAUGAGCACCAGAUCGAGAAGCGCUCAAACAGCCAUUGGUACCUCGGAGGCUACAACAACUACGACAACAACAACAACAUGUUCAACUCUCUAAUGCCCUUCCUGCUACUGCGUCUACUCAACCCCCCUGCACCCGCCCCUGCACCCCCUGCUGGCAAAUAAGAGAAGCGAAGCGUUG
Long non-coding RNA from Silurus meridionalis, 360 nucleotides. RefSeq lists it as uncharacterized. The record is from RefSeq and is a predicted model, not a curated record. Lineage: Eukaryota; Metazoa; Chordata; Actinopteri; Siluriformes; Siluridae. The transcript is spliced from 4 exons.